Molecule: ribosomal RNA, 528 nt
Filed under: uncultured bacterium
Lineage: Bacteria
Description: bacterial SSU rRNA
Rfam family: Bacterial small subunit ribosomal RNA
Source: RNAcentral
AAUAGAUACCCGGGUAGUCCACGCCGUAAACGUUGGGCGCUAGGUGUGGGGCUCAUUCCACGAGUUCCGUGCCGCAGCUAACGCAUUAAGCGCCCCGCCUGGGGAGUACGGCCGCAAGGCUAAAACUCAAAGGAAUUGACGGGGGCCCGCACAAGCGGCGGAGCAUGUUGCUUAAUUCGAUGCAACGCGAAGAACCUUACCUAGGCUUGACAUGCACGGAAAUCUCGCAGAGAUGCGGGGUCCGUAAGGGCCGUGCACAGGUGGUGCAUGGUUGUCGUCAGCUCGUGUCGUGAGAUGUUGGGUUAAGUCCCGCAACGAGUGCAACCCUCGUUCUAUGUUGCCAGCACAUAAUGGUGGGGACUCAUAGGAGACUGCCGGGGUCAACUCGGAGGAAGGUGGGGAUGACGUCAAAUCAUCAUGCCCCUUAUGUCUAGGGCUGCAAACAUGCUACAAUGGCCGGUACAAAGGGCUGCGAUACCGCGAGGUGGAGCGAAUCCCGAAAAAGCCGGUCUCAGUUCGGAUUGGGGU